This 399-nucleotide long non-coding RNA is filed under the name Citrus x clementina. RNAcentral describes it as "Citrus clementina (C. clementina) long non-coding RNA (CCLE_LNC004598)". Lineage: Eukaryota; Viridiplantae; Streptophyta; Magnoliopsida; Sapindales; Rutaceae. The record is from RNAcentral.
UUUAGCGUAUGUUUUUAUAACUUUAUCAUACAGACGGCAAGUCGAAAAGAUUUAUAGAGUCUGUAUGAAAAGUUGCUAAGAUAUUCAUAACAUAGAGGACAUGUCAUAUGAUUUUCACUCAGGAGUAUAAAAAGUAUGAAAUGUCGUUUAUUUGACAUGUAGAUGACAGAUUGUUCAAUUAACAGAACUCGAAUGACAAAUCGUUUAUGGUUUCACCACGUAUAUGACAAUAAUAAUAUGUUAUAAAACUUUUACACCAUGGUGUGAAUCGUGUAUGACUUGGAGGGUGUAAAUCGUGUAUGACUUGGAGGUUGUAAAAUUUUCAAAUAGAUGAUAUGUCAUACAGAUUUUGAAACUUGUAUGAUAGUUUAUUUUUCAGCAUAUAUAUGUCUUACAAUU